Cannabis sativa is the source of this 649-nucleotide long non-coding RNA. RefSeq lists it as uncharacterized. NCBI's taxonomy places the organism in Eukaryota, Viridiplantae, Streptophyta, Magnoliopsida, Rosales, Cannabaceae. The transcript is spliced from 4 exons. The record is from RefSeq and is a predicted model, not a curated record.
UACACACAUUUUACACACACAUUUCUCUCUCUUUAUUAUUCUCUCUCUUUGUCGAACAAACUAUAACCAGCAAGGGGAAGGAAUUUUUCAGCUGCAAUGCAAGGGUUUAUAGCAAAAUUUAGGUGCUUCAACCUAAGGGCCCUGUAAAAAGUCGAGCUGCUAUUCCAUUAGGCUGACCAGCAUACCUGAGCACAGAAACGAGGGUUUUUAAGGGAGGUUAAUGUGUAACCAACACAAGUACCAAGGGAUACAGAGUGCAUGUGGUACAACACUCGGUAACUCCCGGAAGUACGAUAAUGGCCUUACCAACACGAGUACAGAGUCGAUACUCUAGUGCAUGUGGCACAUCAGUCGUACUUCCUUUGAGAACAUUCUUAACCAUUUGGUAAAAGAAAAGCCAAGUUAGAGGAGCAGUGAGUUGGGGCUCGGCAAGGAUGGUACAUAUCGCGGCAAUGCAACCUGGAGAGUUUCGAUCAUACUGCUUUUUGAGUUAUUUUGUUGCCGCCCUGUAGUUUGUAAAAAAAACAAUAAAUACUAUGUAACUACAUUAUGGUAUAUAUGUAUUUUUCAACAAUGUUCUAAUAUGAGAUCCCGACCUACAAAGUUUUACAUAUUUAUAAUAAUAAUACAUGUUUAAAUUUUAAAUUAA